GCGAAAACUUUACAAUGCGGGAAACCGUGAUAAGGGGACACCGAGUGCCAGCAUUAUAUGCUGGCUGUCCGGGUGUGUAAAAUACACCUGUUAGCAAGGGCCGGGCAAGACCGGUGCCAGCCGCCGCGGUAACACCGGCGGCUCGAGUGGUAACCGUUAUUAUUGGGUCUAAAGGGUCUGUAGCCGGCCGGAUAAGUCCCUUGGGAAAUCUGGCAGCUUAACUGUCAGGCUUUCAGGGGAUACUGUCUGGCUCGAGGCCGGGAGAGGUGAGAGGUACUUCAGGGGUAGGGGUGAAAUCUUGUAAUCCUUGAAGGACCACCAGUGGCGAAGGCGUCUCACCAGAACGGACCUGACGGCAAGGGACGAAAGCUAGGGGCACGAACCGGAUUAGAUACCCGGGUAGUCCUAGCCGUAAACGAUACUCGCUAGGUGUCGGCCACGGUGCGACCGUUGUCGGUGCCGUAGGGAAGCCGUGAAGCGAGCCACCUGGGAAGUACGGCCGCAAGGCUGAAACU
RNAcentral lists this ribosomal RNA (515 nucleotides) under uncultured archaeon. RNAcentral describes it as "bacterial SSU rRNA". It matches the Rfam family "Archaeal small subunit ribosomal RNA", at positions 341 to 856 of the family's 1478-position model. The record is from RNAcentral.